RNAcentral lists this long non-coding RNA (827 nucleotides) under Durio zibethinus. RNAcentral's name for it is "long non-coding RNA (DZIB_LNC001075)". Lineage: Eukaryota; Viridiplantae; Streptophyta; Magnoliopsida; Malvales; Malvaceae. The record is from RNAcentral.
UAUAUUUUAGAUUAUCAAAGUCUAAGUGAUUGGUGGGAAUAAAAUGUAGCUUUUGAGAUAGUAGGAAGAUGUAGAAUCGGAUAGAGAAGAGAAGAGCCGCCCAAAGGGACCCAAUCAAAGAAGAUGUCUAUGUCAAUGUAUUUUAGAUUAGUGAUAAACAAAAAAUUGGGUCCCCAAUCUUGAUGUUAGGAAUAAUAUAGAGGGCCACGUGGACAAUGGGCAGUGUAUGAAUUUAGAGCAAAUCUGAUGGUGACAUUGCACUUUUUUUCUUAGAUAUUUUGAUGAGUAUCUUGAUGAUAACUUUCUUUGAUCGCACACUUGUCUUGGUGGGGAGGAAUCAUUGUCCAUUAGAAUGUCAAUUUGCAUACAUAAAAGAAUUUGUUUGAGAAUUAAGCUUAGUUUUUAGACGUGGAAUCAGAAUUUUUUUUUUCUGACACUGUGAUUCUGGGUUCUAUACGCAAAGCACCAUCUCUAUUUUAAGUGACGAUUGGAGAAACAAGUUUUCAUCCACAGCAUCUGAUCCUUGCCUGUUUUAACUUUCAAAUUUUAGUCGUGGCUAGCCGCUUAUAUACAUGACCACUUGUACUUGAAACAACAUUUGGAGCUCUGUUGUGGGUUAAGCAAGGGGCUAUAGGCGUGUUGCCUUCAGCUUUAACUUGCUUUCCAGCUGUAUGGACGAAGUUAUCUUCUUCUUGUUCAAAGUAGGGUUGGUAAGCCUAUCGAGCUCUUCGGAUUAUAACUUUUCCAGCUGGAAUUGACGUAGUUAUCUUGUUGUUGUUCAAAGUUGAGUUGUCAAAUAUACUUGAAUUCAUUGAGUUUCGAUAGAC